Molecule: ribosomal RNA, 1056 nt
Filed under: uncultured archaeon
Lineage: Archaea
Description: bacterial SSU rRNA
Rfam family: Archaeal small subunit ribosomal RNA
Source: RNAcentral
GGAAUUCGCCCUUUCCGGUUGAUCCCGGCGGAGGCCACUGCUAUCGGGGUUUGAUUAAGCCAUGCGAGUCGAGGGGUGCAAGACCUCGGCGUACUGCUCAGUAACACGUGGACAAUCUGCCCUGAAGUGGAGGAUAAUCCCGGGAAACUGGGGGUAAUACUCCAUAGUUCGUGCUGACUGGAAUGUUAUGCGAACGAAAGAUCCGUCGCUUCAGGAUGAGUCUGCGGCCGAUUAGGUAGUUGUUGGGGUAACGGCCCAACAAGCCUGUCAUCGGUGCGGGUUGUGGGAGCAAGAGCCCGGAGAUGGAUUCUGAGACACGAAUCCAGGCCCUACGGGGCGCAGCAGGCGCGAAAACUUUACCAUGCGGGCAACCGUGAUAAGGAAACCCCGAGUGCCAGCACAGGCUGGCUGUCCACCAGUGUAAAUAACUGGUGAAGAAAGGGCCGGGCAAGACCGGUGCCAGCCGCCGCGGUAAUACCGGCGGCUCGAGUGGUGGCCGCUAUUACUGGGCUUAAAGGGUCCGUAGCUGGAUAUACAAGUCCCUUGAGAAAUCCGCCGGCUUAACCGGUGGGCGUUCAGGGGAAACUGUAUUUCUAGGGACCGGGAGAGGUGAGAGGUACUGCCGGGGUAGGAGUGAAAUCCUGUAAUCCCGGUGGGACCACCUAUGGCGAAGGCAUCUCACCAGAACGGGUCCGACAGUGAGGGACGAAAGCUGGGGGAGCAAACCGGAUUAGAUACCCGGGUAGUCCCAGCUGUAAACGAUGCGCGUUAGGUGUGUCAGUGACCACGUGUCACUGAGGUGCCGAAGGGAAACCGUGAAACGCGCCGCCUGGGGAGUACGGUCGCAAGGCUGAAACUUAAAGGAAUUGGCGGGGGAGCACCACAACGGGUGGAGCCUGCGGUUUAAUCGGACUCAACGCCGGAAAUCUCACCGGAUAAGACAGCUGAAUGAUAGUCGGGAUGAAGACUCUACUUGACUAGCUGAAAGGAGGUGCAUGGCCGUCGUCAGUUCGUACUGUGAAGCAUCCUGUUUAGUCAGGCAACGAGCGAGACCCA